AACGCACCUUGCGCCCUUUGGUAUUCCGAAGGGCAUGCCUGUUUGAGUGUCAUUAAAUUCUCAACUUCAACACUUUUUGUAUUGAAGCUUGGAUGUUGGAGGGUUUGCAGGCAUACAUUAAUGUCAGCUCCUCUUAAAUGCAUUAGCAGAACUUGUAUGUUCGGUUCUGGUUUGAUAAUCCUAUCUAUGCCAUUGCUGAAAUGUCAUUGUUCAGCUUCUAAUGGUCCAUGCUAUUGGACUGUCUCUUUUGUGGAGGCAUAUUUUUGACUUGACCUCAAAUCAGGUAGGACUACCCGCUGAACUUAA
This 306-nucleotide unclassified non-coding RNA is filed under the name uncultured fungus. Its description in RNAcentral is "partial contains 5.8S ribosomal RNA, internal transcribed spacer 2, and large subunit ribosomal RNA". The stretch from base 1 to 52 matches the Rfam family "5.8S ribosomal RNA", at positions 103 to 154 of the family's 154-position model. The record is from RNAcentral. Lineage: Eukaryota; Fungi.